RNAcentral lists this long non-coding RNA (3850 nucleotides) under Pelobates cultripes (western spadefoot toad). Lineage: Eukaryota; Metazoa; Chordata; Amphibia; Anura; Pelobatidae. The record is from RNAcentral.
CGUUUCUCCAUAUAGGCUUUAUCAAUGGAUUAAAAAUGUUUGGUCCUUUUUAUACUUGUACCAUCAUCUUUUAUUUAAAUUUUUAUUACUAUUACCUGGCUUUUUACUUUAUUUUACUCUUGUCUUGUACUCCAAGAAUCCGAGGUGGGGAUCAUACCACAUAUGCCCUUGUCAUAGAGCAGUUAGCCUACCCUAUCAUCUGUGAGUAUAUUUUAUUAUACUUUUUAUGCUAGCAAUAUUUUACUGAGAGCACUAUUGCUGUUUUAUUAUCUUCCCUCUGAGCUCCUGUGACCAUCUCCAAGAUCACUCCUCAUAUAUCCCAGAAGCGGGGAUCAUACCGCUGCAAGCCUACCAUACUAGAGCUGGUAUAAGCUCUAUUAAAUGUGAGUGUAUCUACUAUUUUUUAUUACCUUUUAUCCACUGUGGAACAAACUGCACCAUUAUUGUUUCCAUUUUUAUUUCCCCCUUGGCUGUCUGUCACUGCAGGAUCGCUUGCAUUCGGUUCUACACCACUUAGAAGGGCACUGUUUGGUGGGAUUGUUUCCACGAACAAGGUGAACAAGCUCCAGGGUAAGAACAUUGGCUAUGUUCGGUAGUUUGUUUGGCUUUUAAACUACCGAACUAGAUUGACCGCAAGCCCUGAUUCUCUGGAACUGUUUUGGACAUGGGACCAUGAGUGCGGUCGGUCAAAUUAUGACUUCCAGAAAAUUCCUUAACCAAUCUGGGUGAUUUUUGGAUAUGUUGGUCACCCAGAUCGGGGCUAUCAGGGGAUGUAACUUUUGUGGGGGUUUGUGUGUCUAAAGGCAUUUUAAGGGUUUUUAAAAUAUGUAUGUUUUCUGUACCUGGAGAUAUUUGAGUUUAGUACAGUCCCUGACUCAAUUAUCUCCCAGGCACAGAGGAGGGAUUAUCUUGUUUUAUGUGGGAGUAUCCUGGACCUGAGAGCCAAUGUAAUUGUGUUUUUUACUGUAGUCUACUCUCAGGUCCAGGGGGGAGUGCCCUUUGCAUGGGGAACUGCAUAUAAGGUCAGUUGUGGCUACCAAUAAACGAGUUCCAGUUUACCCUCAACACAGAACCUCAUCUCGUGAUUGUAGAGGAAGGCUAUACCAGCUAUAAUCCCUGCUCCUGGGAUUGUUCUUUGGAUUGCUAUAAUCACUAGCUCUGCGAUACCUGCUAUACUCUCUUGGAGUAGAGGUCUUCUCACUGGGAGCUUGAUCCAGGAGUUUUGUCCAGCUGCAGCGGCUAAGGGGCUACAGUGCUUAUGGUGUCUGGUGCGGUGCUUAUGGUACUCGGUGACAGAUAGAAAGCAUUGAUUGGCAGAGGCACCCAAUCAGAGUGUCAGGCGGUCCGUCACAGGUAUUAUCUUCCUUCAGCCACUCAGAAACCACUUUAGAAUAUACCGAGACCCAUUUACCCCCAGGAACUGGACGAGACACAGCUCUGGAGGUACAACACCAUUUUAUUGGCCACACACGGCUGUUAUGCAUAACCCCAUGCAAGGGGUUUACCACACAACCAUACAGAGUCCCAUCCCAGGAUACUCCCCCUCCCCGGGGCCCUAGCACGAUUUCAAGAUCAGAGACAACAUGGGUUUACUUCAGGGAGAUCAUGCCCAACUAAUCUUAUUGAUUUUUUUGAUUGGGUAACUAAAAUAAUAGAUCAGGGUGGCGCAGGAGACAUUGCUUACCUAGAUUUCAGUAAGGCUUUUGACACUGUUGCACAUAGAAGGCUUAUCAAUAAACUGCAGCCUUUAAGUUUGGAUUCCAAUAUUGUGACAGGCAACAGAGGAUUGUAGUCAAUGGAUUAUAUUCAAAGCGUGGGCUUGUGGGGUACCUCAGGGAUAUGUACUUGGACCCAUUCUCUUUAAUAUUUUUAUUAGUGAUAUUGCAGAAGGUCUUGAUGUAAGGUAUGUCUUUUUGCCGCAGAUAUGUAACAGGGUUGAUGUUCCAGGAGGGAUAAGCAAAAUGGCAAAUGAUUUAGGUAACGUAGAAAAAUGGUCAGAGUUAAGGCAGCUGACAUUUAAUGUGGAUAAGUGCAAGAUAAUGCAUCUUGGACGUAAAAACCCAAGGGCAGAGUACAGAAUAUUUGAUAGAGUCCUAACCUCAACAUCUGAGGAAAGGGAUUUAGGGGUGAUUAUUUCUGAUGACUUAAAAGUAGGCAGACAAUGGAAUAGAGCAGCAGGAAAUGCUAGCAGAAUGCUUGGUUGUAUAGAGAGAGGUAUUAGCAGUAGAAAGAGGGAAGUGCUCAUGCCAUUUGUAACGGAUCACCUUCCAUUAAUGGACGCUUCCUAGCUUGCGCCGAGGACCACAAGCACCGCACUGGACACCACAAUAACCGCAGACUCCACAACUGCCGUAGCUUAACUGGAGCCUCGCCAUCUAAAGUCCACCCUGGAUCAGCUUCUGUCCUCCAGGACCGUGUGGGAAAGACAUAUAUUGCACUAUUGGAUCCUUUCUCUCCACAUAUAUCUGUAUCCUGCUCAAGACUGACAAGACGUGCCCUGCUGUAUAUAUCCUGAGACGGGGAUUGUUCCAUCUAUGCCAAAAAACAGCUGAGCUCUUAGUUAGCUCUGGGAAAUGUGAGUGUGACCAUAUUUGAUGCACUCAUAUAUCAGAUAAUUAUACUUGCGAUAUUGCACUAUUAUCUUCAUGUUCUUUUAUUUUUGAAGUCAAUUGCAUAUAGAUCACUGUAUACUUGUGUUCGUAUACAUAUUUAUUGUCUACGGCGCGGUUUCCUAUUUCCCCCUGUCUGCACAUAUAACAACCAGGUACCUCCUCAAGUCAUAUUCCCGGAUAGCCUGGACCUGAGCGCCCAAUAUAUUAAUAAACGCUCAGAUCCCAUGAACACAGCCGAAUCGCCACCGGGGUAAAGUUUUGACUGACCGCACACGAGGCGUCUGUCCAAAAUAGUUCCAGGAGAAAAGAGGUGGUGGUCGGUCUCUUUCGGGAGUUCGAAAACGUAUAAAAAACUGAACAUAUGCCAUAGCUGGUAUAUAGAUAGUGUUCACCUAAUCCAUGCGAAUGAUUCCACUGAACUGUUCUCUUCUAAGAUGUAAAGAAACACAGACAAGGAUGGAAGUUAAGCGGUGUUCUCGGGGUCGAGUUUCCUAUUUUAGUUCCAUGCACUCGACGACCAAACACCGCCACUGUUAUACGGAGUAAUAGCAGUGUUAUGAGGAACACAUUAUAUAGAGUAAUAGCAGUGUUAUAUGGAGCAUGUUAUAUUGAGUAAUUGGAGUGUUAAACAGAGCACAUUAUAUGGAGUAAUAGGAGUGUUGUUAUACGGAGUAAUAGCAGUGUUAUACGGAGCACAUUAUAUGGAGUAAUGGCAGUGUUAUACGGAGCACAUUAUAUGGAGUAAUAGGAGUGUUACACGGAGCACAUUAUAUGGAGUAAUAGGAGUGUUACACGGAGCACAUUAUAUGGAGUAAUAGGAGUGUUACACGGAGCACAUUAUAUGGAGUAAUAGGAGUGUUAUACGGAGCACAUUAUAUGGAGUAAUAGGAGUGUUAUACAGAGCACAUUAUAUGGAGUAAUAGGAGUGUUAUACGGAGCACAUUAUAUGGAGUAAUAGGAGUGUUACACGGAGCACAUUAUAUGGAGUAAUAGGAGUGUUACACGGAGCACAUUAUAUGGAGUAAUAGGAGUGUUAUACGGAGCACAUUAUAUGGAAUAAUAGGAGUGUUAUACGGAGCACAUUAUAUGGAGUAAUAGGAGUGUUAUACGGAGUAAUAGCAGUGUUAUACGGAGCACAUUAUAUGGAGUAAUGGCAGUGUUAUACGGAGCACAUUAUAUGGAGUAAUAGGAGUGUUGUUAUACGGAGUAAUAGCAGUGUUAUACGGAGCACAUUAUAU